This 73-nucleotide transfer RNA is filed under the name Bos taurus (domestic cattle). It matches the Rfam family "tRNA". Rfam says of the family: Transfer RNA (tRNA) molecules are approximately 80 nucleotides in length. Their secondary structure includes four short double-helical elements and three loops (D, anti-codon, and T loops). Further hydrogen bonds mediate the characteristic L-shaped molecular structure. tRNAs have two regions of fundamental functional importance: the anti-codon, which is responsible for specific mRNA codon recognition, and the 3' end, to which the tRNAs corresponding amino acid is attached (by aminoacyl-tRNA synthetases). tRNAs cope with the degeneracy of the genetic code in two manners: having more than one tRNA (with a specific anti-codon) for a particular amino acid; and 'wobble' base-pairing, i.e. permitting non-standard base-pairing at the 3rd anti-codon position. Lineage: Eukaryota; Metazoa; Chordata; Mammalia; Artiodactyla; Bovidae. The record is from Rfam by way of RNAcentral. RNAcentral also lists the same sequence under 1 other name.
UCCCUGAUGGUCCUGUGGUUAAAACUCUGCGUUUCCAAUGCAGGGGGCAUGGGUUCAAUCCCUGGUUGGGGAA